This is a long non-coding RNA of Sander lucioperca (pikeperch), 507 nucleotides long. RefSeq lists it as uncharacterized. The transcript has 2 exons. The record is from RefSeq and is a predicted model, not a curated record. NCBI's taxonomy places the organism in Eukaryota, Metazoa, Chordata, Actinopteri, Perciformes, Percidae.
UCAAAACUGAUUUUCUGAUAUCCAGGUGCAUAGGUGACCUAAUAUAGCCUAGGCUACAAUGAAAACAAUUCAAAAGGUUGGGCGCAAACGAUUAUUCAAAUUUCUUAAACAGAACUUUGGAAACCAUUGUAGGGGUUUCAAAUACUUAGUUGUCUUCUGCGUAAACAUAACGUUGUAGGCUAUUGGAAAUGUAGAUGUAGGCAUUUGAGCCUUGUCAAUAGAAAUAUUGCUUCUUUUCAUAAAUCCAAGGAACUUGUUAUUGUAGCUGUUUGAGAGCCUCGAGAUCAUGUGUUUCCAGGCCAGGGUAACCAGUUGUUUUAGACACAUUCUUUCAGAAUCCGUGUGCUGUCUGGUAGAAUUUAUGACAAAUCCUUGCACACGGAUAGCGCAGAGGUGUAGCAGAAGGUUAGAGUGCACGAUAUAGUUAUGUUUUUAAGCCCAAAUCAAGGUAACCAGUUGUUUCGGAGUACUCAGAUAAACAGUGAUUCAUAGCCUACUGAGAGAAAA